Molecule: ribosomal RNA, 503 nt
Filed under: uncultured bacterium
Lineage: Bacteria
Description: partial 16S ribosomal RNA
Rfam family: Bacterial small subunit ribosomal RNA
Source: RNAcentral
GCUGGCGGCGUGCUUAACACAUGCCAGUCGAACGAAGAGCGAUGGAAGCUUGCUUCUAUCAAUCUUAGUGGCGAACGGGUGAGUAACGCGUAAUCAACCUGCCCUUCAGAGGGGGACAACAGUUGGAAACGACUGCUAAUACCGCAUACGAUCUGACCUCGGCAUCGAGGAUAGAUGAAAGGUGGCCUCUACAUGUAAGCUAUCACUGAAGGAGGGGAUUGCGUCUGAUUAGCUAGUUGGAGGGGUAACGGCCCACCAAGGCGAUGAUCAGUAGCCGGUCUGAGAGGAUGCACGGCCACAUUGGGACUGAGACACGGCCCAGACUCCUACGGGAGGCAGCAGUGGGGAAUCUUCCGCAAUGGACGAAAGUCUGACGGAGCAACGCCGCGUGAGUGAUGACGGCCUUCGGGUUGUAAAGCUCUGUUAAUCGGGACGAAAGGCCUUUUUGCGAAUAGUGAGAAGGAUUGACGGUACCGGAAUAGAAAGCCACGGCUAACUACGUG